Long non-coding RNA from Schistocerca nitens (vagrant locust), 1129 nucleotides. RefSeq lists it as uncharacterized. Lineage: Eukaryota; Metazoa; Arthropoda; Insecta; Orthoptera; Acrididae. The transcript is spliced from 3 exons. The record is from RefSeq and is a predicted model, not a curated record.
AAUAGAACUGUUGUUAGCUAAACGGUAAUUCAACAUUUAAUUCAUCUCACACUCACACUACUUGGGAAGAAUACGUGACGAUAAACAUGUGCUUCGAAACGAAAUUUGGAUGUUAAUAGAACUGUUGUUAGCUAAACGUGUCUGCCUCAGCUGUAGUUCAGCAUGUUGGGUGCAAGUAGCCAGCAAUGGCACCACUAAAGAGGCAGUCACAUUGGUGAACAUCCGAGAAGCACAAAGCAUUCGGAAGUCAGGGAGACAAAAGAAGAUUCCAAAAAUCUGCACCGAUGAUUUUUUAUGGACAAAAUCCCUCCAAACAAAAUUGAGAUCAAUACCCGUCAUGCGAAGCAAUGUGCAGAUUGCUGAACAUGUUAGUCCCUCGUGGGAGUGUGUUAGGCCCAUUACUGUUUCUCAUUUGCAUUUCCCACUGUGGAUCACAUAACAUGCAAAAUUUAUAUAUGCCAUACUGAGUAACUAUUUUACUAUUGUGAUUUAUCUGUUUAAUUAUUAACUUUGUCAGUCACUUACUAACCACACAAUUUUAGUUGGCCUCUGAACAGAGGAAACUGGGAGCGGAAACUUUGCGAUUGACUCGUAACUACAUUUGGUGCUGAGACAAGCCCCACCUCCUUUUCCCAGGGCAACCGACUUACAGAAUAUUAAAGAAAUGAACAUGUAAGGGAUUAAUGUGUCGCAGAACUGACAUGAAAGUUUAUGGCGACUCAUUUGAAGGACGAGGUACAGCCUCUCCACUAAUUUUUGUAAAAAAUAUUAACAAUCACAAUGCACAUGGAUCAACACUAUUCAGAACAGCUACUUAUUGUUAUGGUGCACAAUACUGUUACAUAGCAAAAGUUGGCCAUGAGUGUAAACGUUCCGGAUCGGCACAAAGUCACACAAGUUCCACCGUUCACAGAGGUGCACCGUAAAAGUGUGCCACCAGUUACUAUGUAGUUCAUUUAUCUUGUAAUAGCUCUAUUAAGAAACUUUUUGUUGUUAUUGUCACUUACUUAAAUAUGCAGUGUAUUUAUCAUACAUUAUUUUCUUACACAUAAAGACAUUUGCCCAAGUUUGUAUUAUUAUAAUUAUUCUUAUUAUUGUGUUAACUUUGAUGACACCAGUUGCAUGUAAA